UAUGCAAAUGUUUCGAAGACGACAGCGUGGUUACAGAAGAGAUCUUUUUUUUUUUUAAGCCAGCUGAGCGUGAUGAAACAGGUGAAGUCUCUCAGGAGACCGGGAGCGUGACGUGACAGAGAGUGAGAGCUAUAAAGCAGGGGUGGUGAAGGCUGUAACACGGAUGCUCGUCUUCAGCAGGACCGACCUCAGAGCAGCAUGCGCUAAAUUAUAAAGUGAUGAAUAGCGUGUGAGCAUGAGGACCAUGAGGACCAUGAGGACCAUGAGGACCAUGAGGAGCUGCGUGUUACACUUACUGUUCCUGCUGCUGCUCUCCUGCAAAACCAGCUUCAGCAGCUUCACUGUCCAGGACAGUUCAGGACGAGAGAUGAGGCAGUAUAAUGAAGUGGAAGACGACAGUUUCAUUGGUCUGAUGGGUAAAAGGAGUUCCGAUCUGACUGCAGAGCUGCCACGGAGACGAGACGUCAGCGACGUGUUUGUCGGUCUGUUCGGGCGCAGAGAUGUCGACUCGGGUGAGUCGGAUAUCGCUAAAGGCCUCGCUGCGUGGAGACGAGAGAGACGGGGCGGAGUCUUCUCAAACAACCGAAGACUCAGAUAUCGUCGUCCCACCUGAAGCGCCGCCUUAACGACGACGUGGAAUUCGAGAGCGACGGUUCUGAUCUCUCCGCCUGGAGUUUACGUUUUUUAUUUUUCACGUGAAGAUUUAAAUGGAGUUUAUUUUACAUCUGAUUUUUCUUCUGAAGGUUUUUUUUUUUUUUUUU
This is a long non-coding RNA of Ictalurus punctatus (channel catfish), 761 nucleotides long. NCBI's taxonomy places the organism in Eukaryota, Metazoa, Chordata, Actinopteri, Siluriformes, Ictaluridae. The record is from Ensembl.